Molecule: ribosomal RNA, 492 nt
Filed under: uncultured bacterium
Lineage: Bacteria
Description: partial 16S ribosomal RNA
Rfam family: Bacterial small subunit ribosomal RNA
Source: RNAcentral
AGUGAACGCUGGCGGUAGGCCUAACACAUGCAAGUCGAACGGCAGCACAGUAAGAGCUUGCUCUUACGGGUGGCGAGUGGCGGACGGGUGAGGAAUACAUCGGAAUCUACUUUUUCGUGGGGGAUAACGUAGGGAAACUUACGCUAAUACCGCAUACGACCUACGGUUGAAAGCAGGGGAUCUUCGGACCUUGCGCGAUUGAAUGAGCCGAUGCCGGAUUAGCUAGUUGGCGGGGUAACGGCCCACCAAGGCGACGAUCCGUAGCUGGACUGAGAGGAUGAUCAGCCAAACUGGACCGGAGAGACGUCCCAGGCGACUACGGGAGGCAGCAGUGGAGAAGAGUCGACAAUGGGCGCGAGCCUGAUCCAGCCAUACCGCGUGGGUGAAGAAGGCCUUCGGGUUGUAAAGCCCUUUUUUGGGGAAAGAAAAGCAGCAGGUUAAUACCCCGCUGUUCUGACGGUACCCAAAGAAUAAGCACCGGCUAACUACGUG